This is a small nuclear RNA of Cercocebus atys (sooty mangabey), 107 nucleotides long. The record is from Ensembl. NCBI's taxonomy places the organism in Eukaryota, Metazoa, Chordata, Mammalia, Primates, Cercopithecidae.
GUGCUGGCUUCAACAGCACAUAUACUACAAUUGGAACAAUAAAGAGAAGAUUAGCACAGCUCCUGCACAAGGCUGAGAUGCAAAUUUGUGAAGCAUUCUACAUAUAC